RNAcentral lists this transfer RNA (73 nucleotides) under Ceratitis capitata (Mediterranean fruit fly). It matches the Rfam family "tRNA". From Rfam's summary of the family: Transfer RNA (tRNA) molecules are approximately 80 nucleotides in length. The record is from Rfam by way of RNAcentral. Lineage: Eukaryota; Metazoa; Arthropoda; Insecta; Diptera; Tephritidae.
GGUUCCAUAGUGUAGCUGUUAUCACGUCUGCUUUACACGCAGAAGGUCUCCAGUUCGAUCCUGGAUGGAACCA